RNAcentral lists this long non-coding RNA (1956 nucleotides) under Homo sapiens (human). Its description in RNAcentral is "HSALNT0252814". The record is from RNAcentral. Lineage: Eukaryota; Metazoa; Chordata; Mammalia; Primates; Hominidae.
CACCACAAGCUAAUUUUAGAUCAUUUUUCCACCCCCAAAGAAACUUCAUACCCAUCAGCAGUCACUCUGAUGUCUCCAGUCGGGGAAGCGAGCUUCCAGCUGACCCUUGCAGAGAGACUUCCCUGGCCAGAUGCUUGUUCCCUGGAAGCCUCUCCCUUGCUGGUAAAUCGCAGCUGCCUGGUGUCUCUCAGCAUGGAAGGGGAGUUUUAAACUCAGUUGAAGAGAGUGCUUAUCCACAGGGCUGCAAUGUUUCCCUGAUGUUGUUGGGAGGACUUCUGUUUGAUCCUGGGGAGAAAUGAGCCCACCUAGGCUGCCUUCUUUUGCUAAGUUGUGGAGGAAGUCUGCAGAUGUUGAACCCUGGUUACCUUCCAUGUUGGGAAAAAGCGUAAGACACAUAAGAUCCUCAAAAGCAAUGGCAGCUUGAUUCAAUAAACUCUAAGACUCCACUGAAGCCAGCCACAGUGCCCAACCUGCAAAGGACUAUCAGGCCCACAAAGGCUCACGGUCUGCAGAUAGAGAAAAAUGUAUGCCAAAAUGUCACAAUGCAGCCUGAUUUACAAUAGAACACUGUAAAAGGUGAUGCAAAGGAAUGGAGGUAUGGCGGAACUUGAGGACACAGUUCUCAGUCAUGUCAUCAUUGUAAACAACUUUCUUAGGACAUGAAAGUUCGGCUCACAAAGCUGGGAUUACAAGCACGAGCCACCACCAUGCCCAGCCCUCAGUAUUUAUCCAUGUAUCCAGUCACUCCUUCAAUUAGCCUUCAUGUAUUUAUUUAAACAUGAUCUUUAUGCUCUGACCGUGUUUCCGACAUUGUGAUAGGCACAGCACCACUUGUUCUGAGUUGUGACUCUCGUCUGUCGGCUUUACAUUCUCCCUCUACUUUUGUUUCCUGUUUCAUUGGAGUUGUAAACCCACCAAAAAUCAAAACUAAACAAGUAAACAAAAUAGCACACCACCAAUAACUAAACUCUCUCCACACAUUCCUUUGAGCUGCCUUUCUAAGGGGGCUUGUCAAUGGGAGGCUUAUCAGGCAAAUGGAAGGAGAAAGAAGGGAAAUAUUUUUCUGCUACUUGUGAUGCCAGUGUCUGUAACUGAACGUGAUGAGUGAUGGGGUCUGGAGGCUCAGCAGGAGAGUGGCCCCCUGUUUUCUGCUCAUUGCAGAUGCUUUUCCACUAGCAACUAUACUAGACUCUCUAGCAAAUUAGUGGUCUCUGUGGGCACCGGGUUUCCAUCCAAACAUUGGAAGCUUCAUGAUGUUUGGUAAUAACUCCUUUUUCCCUUUUCUCCUUUGGCUCUUCCAACACAUUCAUAACCAAAUCAUAUAUGAAAAUUCCCUGGAUUAAAAAUAUCUAGGGGAGUUUCUCUUUCCCUAAGUGGACUCCAGUGGGUGAAAGAAUGGUAGAGGAGAGUGAAAUUGAUUCCAAUUCAGUAAUUUUACACCAGGGAUUCAGACACUAGAUUAAAUUAGAAAAUGUAUGUUUCAUAUGUGAUAUAUUAGCAAUCACUAUCAUUAUCGUCUAAGUUAUAGAAAAUAGCCUAAAACCAUCAUUUUUAAUUUGAAUUUUUAGUUAUUUUAUCUAUUAACAAGUAUUAGAAUUUUUACUCUAUUCAAAUGAUUUAUUACUAAAUAAUCCCCUGAAUACUUUUAUAGUUUAUAUACCAUGUAGCUUUAUAGACUCCUGAACACAGAUAUUUUUUUAGAGCUGAGAGGUAGUAAAAACUUUAAUAUGAAUCUUUUUCUUAAAUUUUCCUCAACAAAAAUGGGAAGAGAAGUUUGUUUCUUUAUACAAAAAAAAAACAUAUUUCUUUUUAUGUUUAGGUAAACAAUUCAAAAGUCUGAGUCAAAAAUUAAUAUGUCCAUGCAUUAAUUCCUUUCUUCCAAGAAAUACCAAAAAAGCAGUAUGAUUUAUUGUUUGCCAUGUAUUCAAAAUAAAUGUUUAAAUAUCCAGAAUUUCU